AGUGAACGCUGGCGGUAGGCCUAACACAUGCAAGUCGAACGGCAACACAGGAGAGCUUGCUCUCUGGGUGGCGAGUGGCGGACGGGUGAGGAAUACAUCGGAAUCUACUCUGUCGUGGGGGAUAACGUAGGGAAACUUACGCUAAUACCGCAUACGACCUACGGGUGAAAGCAGGGGACCUUCGGGCCUUGCGCGAUUGAAUGAGCCGAUGUCGGAUUAGCUAGUUGGCGGGGUAAAGGCCCACCAAGGCGACGGUCCGUAGCUGGUCUGAGAGGAUGAUCAGCAACACUGAAACUGAGACACGGUCCAGACUCCUACGGGAGGCAGCAGUGGGGAAUAUUGGACAAUGGGCGAAAGCCUGAUCCAGCCAUACCGCGUGGGUGAAGAAGGCCUUCGGGUUGUAAAGCCCUUUUGUUGGGAAAGAAAUCCAGCUGGCUAAUACCCGGUUGGGAUGACGGUACCCAAAGAAUAAGCACCGGCUAACUUCGCGCCAGCCGCCGCCGUAA
This 506-nucleotide ribosomal RNA is filed under the name uncultured bacterium. RNAcentral describes it as "partial 16S ribosomal RNA". It matches the Rfam family "Bacterial small subunit ribosomal RNA", at positions 29 to 523 of the family's 1533-position model. The record is from RNAcentral.